GGACAUCAUCACACUUGUGGUCAAGGUCCAACCUCACGUGUCCUGUAUGCGAUAAAAGAGGGAUGCGUGUGGUCAGACCUAGCCCACAAGCCCUGUAUG
MicroRNA precursor from Anolis carolinensis (green anole), 99 nucleotides. Ensembl annotates it as aca-mir-2188. NCBI's taxonomy places the organism in Eukaryota, Metazoa, Chordata, Lepidosauria, Squamata, Anolidae. The record is from Ensembl.